GUUCAUCAUAAUAAUAUAUACUAAAAUUGGAACAGUACAGAGAAGAUAGAAGAUUAGAAUGGCCCUUGCGCAAGAAUGACACGCAAAUGUGUGAAGCGUUCCAUAUAUUU
This is a small nuclear RNA of Aplysia californica (California sea hare), 110 nucleotides long. Lineage: Eukaryota; Metazoa; Mollusca; Gastropoda; Aplysiida; Aplysiidae. The record is from RefSeq and is a predicted model, not a curated record.